CCUACGGGCGGCAGCAGUGGGGAAUAUUGGUCAAUGGACGAGAGUCUGAACCAGCCAAGUAGCGUGAAGGAUGACUGCCCUAUGGGUUGUAAACUUCUUUUAUAUGGGAAUAAAAUGUUCCACGUGUCGGAUUUUGUCUGUACCAUAUGAAUAAGGAUCGGCUAACUACGUGCCAGCAGCCGCGGUAAUACGGAGGAUCCGAGCGUUAUCCGGAUUUAUUGGGUGUAAAGGGAGCGUAGGUGGAUUGUUAAGUCAGUUGUGAAAGUUUGGGGCUCAACCGUAAAAUUGCAGUUGAAACUGGCAGUCUUGAGUACAGUAGAGGUGAGCGGAAUUCGUGGUGUAGCGGUGAAAUGCGUAGAUAUCACGAAGAACUCCGAUUGCGAAGGCAGUUCACUGGACUGCAACUGACACUGAGGCUCGAAAGUGUGGGUAUCAAACAGGAUUAGAUACCCGUGUAGUC
RNAcentral lists this ribosomal RNA (460 nucleotides) under uncultured bacterium. RNAcentral describes it as "partial 16S ribosomal RNA". It matches the Rfam family "Bacterial small subunit ribosomal RNA", at positions 338 to 795 of the family's 1533-position model. The record is from RNAcentral.